CCGCGUCUGGGCCGCCAUCAGGGACAAGUACCGGUCCGAGGCACUGCCCACCGACCUUCCAGCACCUUCUGCCCCUGACUUGACGGAGCCCAAGGAGGAGCAGCCGCCAGUGCCCUCGUCGCCCACAGAGGAGGAGGAGGAGGAGGAGGAGGAGGAAGAAGAGGAGGCUGAAGAAGAGGAGGAGGAGGAGGAUUCCGAGGUGCAGGGGGAGCAGCCCAAGGUCCGUGUUUGGGGGAGAAGUGGAGACAGAGAGGGUGGGGGAAGGGCUACUCACUGACCCUGCCCCUUCCCCAGGAGGCCCCACCGCCACUGUCACCCCCGCAGCCGGCCAGCCCUGCUGAGGAAGACAAAAUGCCGCCCUACGACGAGCAGACACAGGCCUUCAUCGAUGCUGCCCAGGAGGCCCGCAACAAGUUCGAGGAGGCUGAGCGGUCGCUGAAGGACAUGGAGGAGUCCAUCAGGUAGCGGGGGCUGAGGAGCGGGGACACCUGUCCCACAGCGCCUGCUCCUUGGCUCCCAGGGGAGCUGGUGAUGGGGAAUCACUGAGGCAACCACAGGCUGGGCCUGGUCCCUGC
This 575-nucleotide small RNA is filed under the name Pan troglodytes (chimpanzee). RNAcentral's name for it is "retained intron". The record is from RNAcentral. Lineage: Eukaryota; Metazoa; Chordata; Mammalia; Primates; Hominidae.